RNAcentral lists this ribosomal RNA (332 nucleotides) under uncultured eukaryote. RNAcentral's name for it is "partial 18S ribosomal RNA". It matches the Rfam family "Eukaryotic small subunit ribosomal RNA", at positions 1470 to 1796 of the family's 1831-position model. The record is from RNAcentral.
CCCUUAGAUGUCCUGGGCUGCACGCGCGCUACACUGGAAGUUACGGAUUGAGAUACUACCUUGUCCGAAGUGGUCCGGGUAAUCACCUAAAAGCUUGUCAUAAUUGGAAUGGAUUAUUGUAACUAGUAAUCCUGAACGAGGAAUUCCUAGUAAGUCCCAGUCAACAGCUGGUACUGAUUACGUCCCUGCCCUUUGUACACACCGCCCGUCGCUACUACUGAUUGGACGUUUAAGCAAGAUUUUUAAACACUGACAGUGUGUAGUUCACGCUAUACUACAGUGAGAAGAAGAAGAUCGAGCUUACUUGUCUAGAGGAAGUAAAAGUCGUAACA